RNAcentral lists this unclassified non-coding RNA (207 nucleotides) under soil metagenome. Its description in RNAcentral is "partial contains 5.8S ribosomal RNA, internal transcribed spacer 2, and large subunit ribosomal RNA". The record is from RNAcentral.
AACCAUAGAAACCUGCGGAGUACCUGCGGAGGGAUCAUUACCGAGUUUACAACUCCCGAACCCCUGUGAACAUACCACUUGUUGCCUCGGCGGAUCAGCCCGCUCCCGGUAAAACGGGACGGCCCGCCAGAGGACCCCUAAACUCUGUUUCUAUAUGUAACUUCUGAGUAAAACCAUAAAUAAAUCAAAACUUUUAACAAUGGAUCU